This 2908-nucleotide ribosomal RNA is filed under the name Yersinia pestis. Its description in RNAcentral is "23S ribosomal RNA". It matches the Rfam family "Bacterial large subunit ribosomal RNA". The record is from RNAcentral. Lineage: Bacteria; Pseudomonadati; Pseudomonadota; Gammaproteobacteria; Enterobacterales; Yersiniaceae.
GGUUAAGCGACUAAGCGUACACGGUGGAUGCCUAGGCAGUCAGAGGCGAUGAAGGGCGUGCUAAUCUGCGAAAAGCGUCGGUAAGCUGAUAUGAAGCGUUAUAACCGACGAUACCCGAAUGGGGAAACCCAGUGCAAUACGUUGCACUAUCGUUAGAUGAAUACAUAGUCUAACGAGGCGAACCGGGGGAACUGAAACAUCUAAGUACCCCGAGGAAAAGAAAUCAACCGAGAUUCCCCCCAGUAGCGGCGAGCGAACGGGGAGGAGCCCAGAGUCUGAAUCAGUUUGUGUGUUAGUGGAAGCGUCUGGAAAGUCGCACGGUACAGGGUGAUAGUCCCGUACACCAAAAUGCACAGGCUGUGAACUCGAUGAGUAGGGCGGGACACGUGACAUCCUGUCUGAAUAUGGGGGGACCAUCCUCCAAGGCUAAAUACUCCUGACUGACCGAUAGUGAACCAGUACCGUGAGGGAAAGGCGAAAAGAACCCCGGCGAGGGGAGUGAAAUAGAACCUGAAACCGUGUACGUACAAGCAGUGGGAGCACCUUCGUGGUGUGACUGCGUACCUUUUGUAUAAUGGGUCAGCGACUUAUAUUUUGUAGCAAGGUUAACCGAAUAGGGGAGCCGUAGGGAAACCGAGUCUUAACUGGGCGUCUAGUUGCAAGGUAUAGACCCGAAACCCGGUGAUCUAGCCAUGGGCAGGUUGAAGGUUGGGUAACACUAACUGGAGGACCGAACCGACUAAUGUUGAAAAAUUAGCGGAUGACUUGUGGCUGGGGGUGAAAGGCCAAUCAAACCGGGAGAUAGCUGGUUCUCCCCGAAAGCUAUUUAGGUAGCGCCUCGUGAACUCAUCUUCGGGGGUAGAGCACUGUUUCGGCUAGGGGGCCAUCCCGGCUUACCAAACCGAUGCAAACUCCGAAUACCGAAGAAUGUUAUCACGGGAGACACACGGCGGGUGCUAACGUCCGUCGUGAAGAGGGAAACAACCCAGACCGCCAGCUAAGGUCCCAAAGUCAUGGUUAAGUGGGAAACGAUGUGGGAAGGCACAGACAGCCAGGAUGUUGGCUUAGAAGCAGCCAUCAUUUAAAGAAAGCGUAAUAGCUCACUGGUCGAGUCGGCCUGCGCGGAAGAUGUAACGGGGCUAAACCAUGCACCGAAGCUGCGGCAGCGACACUUAGGUGUUGUUGGGUAGGGGAGCGUUCUGUAAGCCGUUGAAGGUGACCUGUGAGGGUUGCUGGAGGUAUCAGAAGUGCGAAUGCUGACAUAAGUAACGAUAAUGCGGGUGAAAAACCCGCACGCCGGAAGACCAAGGGUUCCUGUCCAACGUUAAUCGGGGCAGGGUGAGUCGACCCCUAAGGCGAGGCUGAAAAGCGUAGUCGAUGGGAAACAGGUUAAUAUUCCUGUACUUGGUGUUACUGCGAAGGGGGGACGGAGAAGGCUAGGCUGGCCGGGCGACGGUUGUCCCGGUUUAAGCGUGUAGGGGGAGUGACCAGGUAAAUCCGGUUGCUUAUCAACCCUGAGGCGUGAUGACGAUGCACCACGGUGCAGAAGCAGUUGAUGCCAUGCUUCCAGGAAAAGCCUCUAAGCAUCAGGUAACAUUAAAUCGUACCCCAAACCGACACAGGUGGUCAGGUAGAGAAUACUCAGGCGCUUGAGAGAACUCGGGUGAAGGAACUAGGCAAAAUGGUGCCGUAACUUCGGGAGAAGGCACGCUGGCGUUAGGUGAAAGGACUAGCUCCUGGAGCUGAAGCCAGUCGCAGAUACCAGCUGGCUGCAACUGUUUAAUAAAAACACAGCACUGUGCAAACACGAAAGUGGACGUAUACGGUGUGACGCCUGCCCGGUGCUGGAAGGUUAAUUGAUGGGGUCAGCCGCAAGGGGAAGCUCUUGAUCGAAGCCCCAGUAAACGGCGGCCGUAACUAUAACGGUCCUAAGGUAGCGAAAUUCCUUGUCGGGUAAGUUCCGACCUGCACGAAUGGCGUAAUGAUGGCCAGGCUGUCUCCACCCGAGACUCAGUGAAAUUGAACUCGCUGUGAAGAUGCAGUGUACCCGCGGCAAGACGGAAAGACCCCGUGAACCUUUACUAUAGCUUGACACUGAACAUUGAGCCUUGAUGUGUAGGAUAGGUGGGAGGCCUUGAAGUGUGGACGCCAGUCUGCAUGGAGCCAACCUUGAAAUACCACCCUUUAAUGUUUGAUGUUCUAACUCGGCCCCAUGAUCUGGGGUGAGGACAGUGUCUGGUGGGUAGUUUGACUGGGGCGGUCUCCUCCCAAAGAGUAACGGAGGAGCACGAAGGUUAGCUAAUCACGGUCGGACAUCGUGAGGUUAGUGCAAAGGCAUAAGCUAGCUUGACUGCGAGAGUGACGGCUCGAGCAGGUACGAAAGUAGGUCUUAGUGAUCCGGUGGUUCUGAAUGGAAGGGCCAUCGCUCAACGGAUAAAAGGUACUCCGGGGAUAACAGGCUGAUACCGCCCAAGAGUUCAUAUCGACGGCGGUGUUUGGCACCUCGAUGUCGGCUCAUCACAUCCUGGGGCUGAAGUAGGUCCCAAGGGUAUGGCUGUUCGCCAUUUAAAGUGGUACGCGAGCUGGGUUUAGAACGUCGUGAGACAGUUCGGUCCCUAUCUGCCGUGGGCGUUGGAAGAUUGAGAGGGGCUGCUCCUAGUACGAGAGGACCGGAGUGGACGAAUCACUGGUGUUCGGGUUGUCAUGCCAAUGGCAUUGCCCGGUAGCUAAAUUCGGAAGAGAUAACCGCUGAAAGCAUCUAAGCGGGAAACUUGCCUCGAGAUGAGUCUUCCCUGGGGCUUAAAGCCCCCUGAAGGAACGUUAAAGACUAUGACGUUGAUAGGCUGGGUGUGUAAGUGCAGCGAUGUAUUGAGCUAACCAGUACUAAUGAUCCGUGAGGCUUAACCUU